UAAGCCCCAGUAAACGGCGGCCGUAACUAUAACGGUCCUAAGGUAGCGAAAUUCCUUGUCGGGUAAGUUCCGACCCGCACGAAAGGCGUAAUGAUUUGAGCGCUGUCUCGACAAUGCAUCCGGUGAAAUUGAAGUACCAGUGAAGAUGCUGGUUACCUGCGCCAGGACGGAAAGACCCCAUGGAGCUUUACUCCAGUUUGGUACUGGGAUUCGGUACUGCAUGUACAGGAUAGGUGGGAGACAAAGAAGUUAGGACGCCAGUCUUAACAGAGUCGCUGUUGGGAUACCACCCUUGCAGUAUUGGGUUUCUAACCAGCCGCUGUGAACCAGCGGUGGGACAAUGCCAGGCGGGGAGUUUGACUGGGGCGGUCGCCUCCGAAAGGGUAUCGGAGGCGCUCAAAGGUUCCCUCAGAAUGGUUGGAAACCAUUUGAAGAGUGCAAAGGCAGAAGGGAGCUUGACUGCGACACCGACGGGUGGAGCAGGUACGAAAGUAGGACUUAGUGAUCCGGUGGCAUAAAGUGGGAUUGCCAUCGCUCAACGGAUAAAAGCUACCCUGGGGAUAACAGGCUUAUCACUCCCAAGAGUUCACAUCGACGGAGUGGUUUGGCACCUCGAUGUCGGCUCAUCGCAUCCUGGGGCUGUAGUAGGUCCCAAGGGUUGGGCUGUUCGCCCAUUAAAGCGGUACGCGAGCUGGGUUCAGAACGUCGUGAGACAGUUCGGUCCCUAUCCGGCGCGGGCGUAGGAUAUCUGAGGGGAGCUGGCCUUAGUACGAGAGGACCGGGCUGGACGGACCACUGGUGCAUCAGCUGGAUACCAAAUCCAUAGCUGGGUAGCCAAGUCCGGAAGGGAUAAACGCUGAAGGCAUCUAAGCGUGAAGCCCCCCCCAAGAUGAGAUGUCCCUGUCUAUAAGACAGUAAGACCCCUGAAAGAGUAUCAGGUAGAUAGGGCAGAGGUGGAAGCACGGUAACGUGUGGAGCUGACUGUUACUAAUCGGUCGAGGGCUUGACCAA
Molecule: ribosomal RNA, 1011 nt
Filed under: human gut metagenome
Description: bacterial LSU rRNA
Rfam family: Bacterial large subunit ribosomal RNA
Source: RNAcentral